Molecule: ribosomal RNA, 69 nt
Filed under: Paenibacillus antri
Lineage: Bacteria; Bacillati; Bacillota; Bacilli; Caryophanales; Paenibacillaceae
Description: Paenibacillus sp. SYSU_K30003 partial 16S ribosomal RNA
Rfam family: Bacterial small subunit ribosomal RNA (bases 12-69)
Source: RNAcentral
UUGAACUACCCUUUUUGGAGAGUUUGAUCCUGGCUCAGGACGAACGCUGGCGGCGUGCCUAAUACAUGC